UACGGAGGGAGCUAGCGUUGUUCGGAUAUACUGGGCGUAAAGCGCACGUAGGCGGCGUCGUAAGUCAGGGGUGAAAUCCCGGAGCUCAACUCCGGAACUGCCCUUGAAACUGCAAUGCUAGAAUCUUGGAGAGGCGAGUGGAAUUCCGAGUGUAGAGGUGAAAUUCGUAGAUAUUUGGAAGAACACCAGUGGCGAAGGCGGCUCACUGGUCCGGUACUGACGCUGAGGUGCGAAAGCGUGGGGAGCAAACAGG
Molecule: ribosomal RNA, 253 nt
Filed under: uncultured bacterium
Lineage: Bacteria
Description: partial 16S ribosomal RNA
Rfam family: Bacterial small subunit ribosomal RNA
Source: RNAcentral